This is a long non-coding RNA of Arachis duranensis, 184 nucleotides long. RefSeq lists it as uncharacterized. The transcript is spliced from 3 exons. The record is from RefSeq and is a predicted model, not a curated record. Lineage: Eukaryota; Viridiplantae; Streptophyta; Magnoliopsida; Fabales; Fabaceae.
UAAAAAGCAACAACAUCAACAUUAAAUGGGACCUAUAAGUUUUGCAAGAGUGCGUAAUGAAAUGCGUGAAAUGAAUGAGAACAAAGAAGACCCAUCACAGGUUGAUGUGUUUGUUGCAACUCGAACUGGACGAAAAGGAAAAGAGCUUGAUUCAGGAACACAAGUUGUUAUUGAUAAACUUAAG